Long non-coding RNA from Eubalaena glacialis (North Atlantic right whale), 462 nucleotides. RefSeq lists it as uncharacterized. The record is from RefSeq and is a predicted model, not a curated record. The transcript is spliced from 4 exons. NCBI's taxonomy places the organism in Eukaryota, Metazoa, Chordata, Mammalia, Artiodactyla, Balaenidae.
GCUCACGGCUCCAGACUGAGGUGCCGCGUGCAGCGUCUCUGCACACGGCCCACUGCCGCCAUCUUGAAUUGACGAGCCGGGCGCAGUACUUCUGUCCACAAGACGCCGCCGAGCUGAGUUGUCCGGCGCAGCCGUUUUGCAUGAGGAGCUCUGGUCUGAGGCCUCUGCCUGCUGCAACCUGUGAGCAAGUGAAACGAGAUGAAGCACAAGGGAAAAAUAAAAGGUUGCGCUGCUGAGGCUCCCGACCCAUGUUUUCUUACUGGGCAACUUCAGGUAAUUGAACGCUUUGCUUAUUUUGAAUAAAUCAGCUGAUGCCACGGACUCCAUCCUUGGGAAAAGACAUGAGAAGAGCAAGCAAUGCUGCUGGAAGGACAGUGCUUUGUAGCAGCCAAGUGCAGAACUUCUGGUUGACCUUAACUUAUUAAAAGCUGAAUUUGGCUGACUAAACCUGUAUCAUGAUAA